GUGAUGGUCACUCAGGGGUCACUCAGGGGUCAGUGAUGGUCACUCAGGGGUCACUUGGGGGUCACUCUGGGGUCACUUGGGGGUCACUCGGGUCACUCAGAGGUCACUCAGGGGUCACUCAGGGGUCACUCACGCCCCUCUCUCCGGCCAGGAGUGGAAGCUGGACACGCUGUGUGACCUGUACGAGACGCUGACCAUCACGCAGGCGGUCAUCUUCAUCAACACCCGGCGCAAGGUGGACUGGCUGACCGAGAAAAUGCACGCCCGGGACUUCACCGUGUCCGCAAUGGUCAGUGAGGGUCACUCAGGGGUCAUUGGGGUCACCCUGGGGUCACCCUGGGGUCACUCAGGGGUCAUUGGGGUCACCCGGGGGUCACUCAGGGGUCAUCUGGGGGUCACCCGGGGGUCACACAGGGAUCAUCUGGGGUCACCCGGGGGUCAUUGGGGUCACCCAGGGAUCAUCUGGGAUCAUCUGGGGUCACCCAGGGGUCAUUGGGGUCACCCGGGGUUCACCCAGGGGUCAGCCACGGGUCACCGGGGGUCAUCUGGGAUCAUCUGGAGUCACUCGGGGGUCACUCGGGGUCACCCAGUGGUCAGCCAGGGGUCACCGGGGGUCAUCUGGGAUCAUCUGGAGUCACCCGGGGGUCAUUCGGGGGUCAUUGGGGUCACCCAGGGUCAUCUGGGGUCAUUGGGGUCACCCAGGGGUCACCCAGGGGUCAGCCAGGGGUCAGCCAGGGGUAACUUGGGGUCACUCAGGGGUCAUCUGGGGUCACCCAGGGGUCACUCGGGGGUCACACAGGGAUCAUCUGGGGUCACCUGGGGGUCAUUGGGGUCACCCGGGGUCACCUGGGGUCACCCGGGGGUCAUUGGGGUCACCCAGGGGUCACCCGGGUGUCACCCAGGGGUCACUCAGGGUCAUCUGGUCACUCAGGGGUCACCAAGGGGUCAUCCAAAGGUCACCCAGGGUCACCUGGGGUCACUCAGGGAUGAUCAAGGUUACCCGGGGUCACCCAGAGGUCAUCUGGGGGUCACUCAGGGUCAUCUGGGUAACUCAGGGGUCACCCAGGGGUCAUUGGGGUCACCCAGGGGUCAUCUGGGAUCACCCAGGGUCAUCUGGAGUCACCCAGUGUCACCCGGGGUCACCCAGGGUCAUCCAAGGUCAACUGGGGUCACCCAGGGGUCACCCAAGGUCAGGGACCGCCUGGGCUCAGGGGUCACCUGAGGUCACCUGGGGUCAUUCAGGGUCACUCAGGGGUCACCCAGGGUGACACAGAAUGACCAUGGGGUGACCCAGGGGUCACUCAGAGGUCACCGGGGGUCAGGGGUCACCCAGGGGUCAGCGGGCAUUGGAGUCUUUGGGGGUCUUUGGGGUCAAGGGGUCACCGAGGGGUGACAGGGGUCACCAGGAGGCCACA
Molecule: long non-coding RNA, 1415 nt
Filed under: Cyanistes caeruleus (blue tit)
Lineage: Eukaryota; Metazoa; Chordata; Aves; Passeriformes; Paridae
Description: lncRNA (ENSCCEG00000005768.1)
Source: RNAcentral